RNAcentral lists this ribosomal RNA (430 nucleotides) under bacterium. RNAcentral describes it as "partial 16S ribosomal RNA". It matches the Rfam family "Bacterial small subunit ribosomal RNA", at positions 355 to 776 of the family's 1533-position model. The record is from RNAcentral.
UGGGGAAUAUUGGACAAUGGGCGCAAGCCUGAUCCAGCCAUGCCGCGUGUGUGAAGAAGGCCUUUUGGAUGUAAAGCACUUUAAGCGAGGAGGAGGCUACUUGGAUUAAUACUCUAAGAUAGUGGACGUUACUCGCAGAAUAAGCACCGGCUAACUCUGUGCCAGCAGCCGCGGUAACACAGAGGGUGCGAGCGUUAAUCGGAUUUACUGGGCGUAAAGCGUGCGUAGGCGGCUUCUUAAGUCGGAUGUGAAAUCCCUGAGCUUAACUUAGGAAUUGCAUUCGAUACUGGGAAGCUAGAGUAUGGGAGAGGAUGGUAGAAUUCCAGGUGUAGCGGUGAAAUGCGUAGAGAUCUGGAGGAAUACCGAUGGCGAAGGCAGCCAUCUGGCCUAAUACUGACGCUGAGGUACGAAAGCAUGGGGAGCAAACAGG